GUCCAUUUUGCCCCAUUUUUGGCCGAGUGGUUAAGGUGUUGGACUUGAAAUCCAAUGGGGUCUCCCCACCCAGGUUCGAACCCUGCUCGCAGCGAUGGACU
Non-coding RNA from Rhinichthys klamathensis goyatoka, 101 nucleotides. Lineage: Eukaryota; Metazoa; Chordata; Actinopteri; Cypriniformes; Leuciscidae. The record is from the annotation of a RefSeq genome assembly.